CGCCGCUCUCUGUCGCUCCUCCGCCUCCCAUUUUCAUUAUUCGAUACUCUUGCGAGGCAUUCGCCCUUUCCCGCCGCUCGCAGUCACUCCUCCGCCUCCCGUUUUCAUUAUUCGUUACUCUUGCGAGGCAUUCGUGUUUCUCCGAUUCGUCUUCUCAAGAGGAAGCAGGUUUUCUUUCCCUCGCGUUUUCACAGUCAUGUUGUUGCUUCGUCGGAUCAUUGUAGUCAGUCGGCCAUCAUCAGUCUUUGUUCACGGGUUUUCUGAAAGUCCGUUGAAAUCUCUCAGAUACUCAUCGACUUCUUCUGAGAUCGCAUCACCUCCAAAAUCUGCAUCGCCGGAUUCUGAUUCUGUCAAGCCAGAGAACGAUGAGAAGCCUGUAAUCGUGUUCUUUGAGAAUCAUGGAUUCUCAAAAACACAGAUCUCUGAUCUUGUCAAGAAAUUCCCUCAAGUUCUUUCCGCGAACCCCGAAAAGACGCUAUUGCCAAAAUUGUUGUUCUUUCAAUCGAAAGGCCUUUCUUCCCCCGAGAUUGCCAAAUUAGUGUGUAGUUUUCCUUCGAUUUUAGCGCGAAGUUUAGACAGAAAAAUCAUUCCAGCUUUUGAUUACAUUCAAGAGCUACUUCAAACUGAGGAGAAGACUGUCGCAUCCAUAAAACGGUUUUUAGGUAUUCUCACUUGUGAUCUCCAAAUUCAUGCUCGUCCCAAUGUUGAAACUCUAAUACAAAUUGGAGUCCCUGAUUCCAACAUUGCAACCAUUCUUCACUACCAACCACGAGUGUUCUUGAUAAACACCGUCCGAUUCAAGGAGAUUGUGGAGGAAGUUAAGGAAAUGGGAUUCAACCCUCUGCGAUUGAAGUUUGUUCUUGCUGUUUUUGCUAUGCGAGCAAUGAGCAAAUCUACAUGGAGAAAAAAAGUUGAAGUUUACAAGAAAUGGGGAUGGCCUGAAGAAGAGAUUCUCUCCGCUUUUCGAAGGCAUCCAUGGUGUAUGAUGGCUUCCGAGGAUAAGAUCAAUGGCGUAAUGGAUUUCUUUGUGAACAAGAUUGGAUGUGAACCUUCAUACAUUGCAAAGCGACCUGCUCUGAUUUCACUUAGUUUAAAGAAGAGGAUUGUGCCAAGAGGCUCUGUUUAUCAAGCUUUGCUGUCAAAGGGUUUGAUUAAGAAAGAUGUGAAUCUUCCUUUGCUGUUUGAUUCUACUGAAAGCCGAUUCUUAGCCAAAUUCAUCGACCCUCAUAAGGAGCUGAUUCCUGAAUUGUUGAAGUUGUAUAAAGAGAAAUUGGAGGAUGCUAAGAGAUAGCAGGUUCAUUUUCCUUCUCUAAAUGUUAACAUUUACCUGUUUUGCUUGUUCAUAUGUCUAUUGAUAUCUUAAAAUUGAUGUAUGUUCAAGAGCUUGUGCUGAAUUGGCUGCUAUUUAGAUUGUUUACUAAAUGAUGGUUUGAGCUGAACUGACUAUAGCACAUUGUAACAAUAAUAAUGUAAUAUCCAUCGGAUAAAAAGUAAAAUAAAUAAUAAUAAUAAAAUAAAAAAAUAAAAAGAAAGACCGCCUGCAGCAAAAGACUGUGGAGUACCCAUUUUCAAGGACUUUUCGAGGGCAGAAGAAGAGGGUUGGAGAGCCCUCGGAAAUGGAGGAGGAGCUCACGAACUCUCGGAGACCAGAGAACUCGUUGUGAGUCCAUGCACAAGCGCCAUCCGAUCGAUUAGGGAUAAGUUUGAGGACUUCCACCGCCGAGGCUUGGAGCUUGAGUUUAGUGGAGAAAAAGAGUCGAAAUGGGCGGAAGGGAAUGGAGAAUCGAGAUAUCACUUUGGAUCUAUGAGAUUUGAGGAUUGUAGGCGUUGGAAAUGAAUCAGAGGGAGCGAAGACGGCGAGCAUGCAAUGGAAUUAUUUGAGGAGUUUGGUAAAUUUUGGAACCCUCCAAAGACACAAAUCCGAACAAAAACGUUCUGUGUUUUAAGUGGAGUUUGAUGUAGCAGUUGAGGCGGAGGCACACGUGGGCUGUUGGCUACAGAGAAUUCCAUCACAUUUGAGUCUGUAGUCUUGUUUGUGCUUUGCCUUUAAAUCCUGCACUUCAUGUAUUUAAGUGAUCUCUUCCCGUCUUUCUAUGAAUAUAAGAUUUUCAUUACUAUUUU
Cucurbita moschata (crookneck pumpkin) is the source of this 2121-nucleotide RNA transcript. It is a transcript of the gene named transcription termination factor MTERF4, chloroplastic-like, with no coding region annotated. The record is from RefSeq and is a predicted model, not a curated record. The transcript has 2 exons. Lineage: Eukaryota; Viridiplantae; Streptophyta; Magnoliopsida; Cucurbitales; Cucurbitaceae.